RNAcentral lists this unclassified non-coding RNA (712 nucleotides) under Hevea brasiliensis (rubber tree). Lineage: Eukaryota; Viridiplantae; Streptophyta; Magnoliopsida; Malpighiales; Euphorbiaceae. The record is from RNAcentral.
UUUUUAACCAUUACUUAGAAAAGGUACAUGUGAAUCUCAAUCAUAUCAAUAAAGAGCCAGUAGAAAGUAAACUUAGCAAUUUUGACAAAUCAAGCCAGUAAUUGCAUGAUCGCUGAUGGGCUUUGCCAUACUAUAAUGUUAAUUUACCAGAAGAAAGGACUUCCUAUCUGGGCCUUGGGCCUAUUUGGCUAACAUCUUCAUUUUCUAGAUCAUAUUAGGACAUCAUCUUUGUUUGUGUACUGCCUAUCUAGGAUACACUUCAGUAAUUGAUGCUUCGUCGACGGGCAAGGGUGUCGAAACGCUCGUAGGUUGAUCCAACUGCACUUCCUUUGUCACUGUAUUUUGCUCCCUUCUACCAUCAAAGAAAAAUCCUGGCUGUUUAGGCAAUGGUUGAGUAACAGAGCGACUGCUAAGCAUAAGAACAAUUGUUGCCAUUGUAGGUCUUUCAGCUGGAUCUUGCUGGACACAUAGUAAGCCUAUAUGAAUACAUCUGGUUACUUCAUUUCUUGAACAAGAACCUCUCAGAGUCGGAUCCAACACAUCCAAUGCCAUCCCAUCUUUCCAUUUUUUCCAAACGUAGCUCAUGAGGUCGCCUGAGAAUGAACCGUUCUUCUUUCCGGUUACUAUCUCAAGAAUUAAGACACCAAAACUAUAUGCAUCAGACUUUGUCGAGAACUGUCCAUGCAUUAUGUAUUCUGGAGACAUGUAACCA